AUAUUCCUGAAAACACAAGGCUCUGGAGACAUGGGAUGUGCUGCUUCCCGAUUGGAAGAUGAGGAGGCUGUCAAGAUGUGCCGGGACAGGAGGGACUUCAUCAAGCAGGCACUGGAUCAGCGCAACCGUUUUGCGUCCUCUCACAUCGCCUACAUCGAAUCCAUGAAAUGUGUCUCGAUGGCCCUGCAGCGGUUCGUUGCUGGAGAUGAUCGGCACGAGCUCAUUUUUGACCCAUUCAUUUCUCCUGUCAAGCAACAGAAGCCAGAGAUGCUCGGCCUUCCUUAUGGUUCGUAUGAGAAGAGGACUGUUCAUGUCGCGAAGUACUUGAUGUCAGGACCAAACCCAUCAGUGUCAGUUGAAGAGGCUCCACGGCCCGUGGAAACAAUCCGUGUUGAGUCACAUUACCCUGUGGAUGGCUAUGGUGGCACAGAUAGAUUCUUCCCAGCCAAUUCCUCACCGAUGAGGCCAUCUUCUCACUAUACACCUUAUGACAGGCCAAGCUAUGUAGCUCCAUCACCCCAGGAACCAGUGAGGAAUGCUUAUUACAUGCCACCUUAUGACAGGCCAAGCUAUGUAGCUCCAUCACCGCAGGAGCCAGUGAGGAAUUCUUAUUACAUGCCACCUUAUGAGAAGCCAAACUACGUACCUCCAUCACCCCAGGAGCCAGUGAGGAAUUCCUCUUAUUACACGCCACCUUAUGACAGGCAAAGCUAUCCACCUGCUCCACCCCAGGAUCCAAGGAGGACAUCUUUUUACGCAUCUCAUGACAGGCCAAACUACCCACCCUCAUCACCCCAGGAACCAGAAUCAUCACCGUGGGACUCCUUCUGGAAUCCAUUCUCGUCGCUGGACAGCUAUCCGUACCCGCGCCCUCGGAGUAGCUAUGACAAUGUGGUCACUGACGAUGAAUUGGCACGGUUACAGCGGGUAAGAGAGGAGGAAGGAAUCCCAGAACUCGAAGAGGAAGACGAUGAAUGUCAAAAACAUGAACAAAUGCACAACAAAGAGGGGGAGGGGGAGGAAGAAGAAUCUGAUGAGGAUGAUGAUGAAGAAGAAGAAUCUGAUGAAUGUGAGCAUUCAGAUGACCAAAGAUGUAUGGCUUCUAACGAGGCUCGCCCAGGAAAAUCUGAAGUCAAUGUCAAGCAAGAACAAAAGGGACAUCAAUCCAAAGGUGUUCAAUGCGCAGGCUCAUCCGAGCCCCGAAAUGCAGUAGAUCAUGAGAUCAAGGCACAUAAGAAAGAACUAAUGAGGAACAAAGUAGCAAAUGCAGAAGAAACCCCAGGUUUCACUGUUUAUCUGAACCGAAGGCCAACGAGUUUGGUCGAGGCUAUGAAAGAUAUUGACAGUCAGUUUUUGGGGAUCUGUAGCGCUGCUCAGGAAGUCUCACGGAUGCUGGAGGCAAGUCGAGCUCAAUACUCAACCUCAAAUGAUCUCUCUGUAAAGAUGCUAAACCCAGUCGCACUUUUGCGAUCUGCAUCAAUUCGAUCAUCAUCUUCCCGCUUCCUUCUUGCUUCCUCUGGCUCAAUAGAUGAUCUUUUUGACAAUGAUACAAGCAGCUGUUACUCUGAAGAAUCUUGCAGCACAAUGUCUGGAAGUCAUCACUCCACUCUGGAUAGACUGUAUACAUGGGAGAAGAAAUUGUACAAAGAAGUAAAGGUGGGUGAGCGGUUAAGACUUGAGUAUGAGAAGAGGAUGACACAUUUGCGGAACCAGGAUGUGAAAGGGGAGGAGCCUUCUUCUGUCGAUAAGACUCGUUCAGCGUUGAGAAGCUUACAAACUCGGAUGAAGGUGUCAAUACAAACUGUUCAGUCAAUAUCAAGAAGAAUUGAAGUUCUAAGAGACGAGGAGUUGCACCCUCAACUUAUGGAGCUUAUCCAAGGACUGUCGCGGAUGUGGCGAGCCAUGGCUGAACGCCACGAGGCUCAGAAGCGGACCAUCGACGACGCCAAGCUUCUCUUUCUCCAACACCGCGCAUCGGCGGCGACCACCGUGGCUCUCGGUCCUCCGGAGGCGACGACGCCGCCUCCCGCCGCCGUCGCGCUCGAGUGCGAGGUGCGAGCCUGGCGCGGAGCCCUGGACGCCUGGCUGUCGGCGCAGCGCGCGUACACGCGCGCCCUGGCCGCCGGGCAUUGGCGCGGACGCCGCCACGCCGCGCACGGUGCCGCCGGCAUUCCUAGUGUGCAUGGAGUGGGGGCUCGCCGUCGAAGCGGCGUCGGAGGCGCGGGUGAUGGACGGGCUGGACUUCUUCGUGGCCGGCGUCGGGUCGGUGUGCUCGGGAGCUGCCGCGGGCAUGGAGGGCAUGGCGGGGCGCGUGCUGUGCGCCGGCUUGGGAGCCGUCACCGGCGCCAUGGCCGAGUUCGCCGCGGCAUCGGCGGACGGGUACGACGCCGCGGUGUCGGCGGCGGUGGCCGCGCGCGCGCCGGAGGGCGUGGAGGAGGAAAACGCGGGAGGACCGCCGCAACAGUAGGAAAUUCCGCAAAACCGUGGAUACUUUUUUUUUUUGGAGUUGGAACCGUGCCGUUACAUGUAGCUAGGAAGUCGAAGCAUGCAGUCACAUGUGUAAUUUUGUAG
RNAcentral lists this ribosomal RNA (2571 nucleotides) under Triticum aestivum (bread wheat). RNAcentral's name for it is "partial small subunit ribosomal RNA". Lineage: Eukaryota; Viridiplantae; Streptophyta; Magnoliopsida; Poales; Poaceae. The record is from RNAcentral.